UGAAAUUUUACGAAUAUAAAUGGAAAAUAAUUUGUAUUCUCUUCUGAAAAUACUUGGUCUAAUUUGAUGCAAUGUGCAUAAAAUUAAAAUUGCAAAUACAAAACUUCUAAUUCUAAUUCUUCUAUUCUUACAAUGUAACUAUGGAAAAUAAGGGAAUCCGACAAAAAUGAAAACUUCACAGCUCAUAUCCACAACUAAUCGCUGAAUGAAAUGAAUUACCAAUUAACUAUCAGAAUAUUUACGUUAAUUUGGUCUACGCAGUUAGCCAGUAAAAUGUUUACCAGAUGACCUUAUUGGAAAAGUGCCCAAAAACGUGAAUAUACAAAUGUUUAUUGGCGUAAUUAUACAUGCAUGCGUUUCCCGUCGCGGUUCCCAUCAAAAUAAACAAUCUGACUUGACAGGAAUCAAUAUUUUUGCGGACAAAAUACGUGUGCAACUUAAGGGAGGAUCAUCCGUUUGGGAGAAAAAGGUCUCUAUGCAGGUUGAAAGCUGAGACGAUAAAGGGAUUGGUGGCCGUGGUCAAGAGUACAGAGCCGGCAGUGUCUGCAAUAUAUUAUACCUUAAAAUUCAUUUAAAUAUUUCAAGUGCAUCGCCAAUGCUUGUUUCUGACUAAAAAGAAAUAUUAUGCAUGCGGAUGCUGGGAUCUACCUGUACCGCUGGCUCGAAAAAGGUCGGCUUAGACAGUGCUGGGCAGCUGAAAUUACAGGGCGGACACAAGCAGUUUUCUGUUGGACAGAUUCACGUUUAUGCACUAAUAUUCCGAAGAUUGCAAUAAUAUAUUGUCAAUAUGAACAUUACUCAGCGCCACCAGGAUAGCUUUUAGCACUAAAAUUAAGCAGCACUCGUCAUGAGUGAGGCAACGAGCCGGAAGAAAGAAGCCCGAGCUCCGGUAAAGGCACUCUACCCAAUGAGGCUCCACCGUAGGAUGACGCCUCAAUUUCAUCACACGAAAGCAUUUCAACAGCCGACAUUCAGGUACUUGUGCAAGUUAAAAAGGCGAAACGCGAGCUUACUGUCAAUCUGCGAACAAAACAUUCCCUGGCGAUGUCGACACGCCUACCCACAUACCCGACCCCAGAUACGACAUCUUAUUCCACCAUUCAUAGGCGCACAACCCGGUUACAAUCCAGGAGAACCACCAAUACAAUGCAGCCAUUGCCACCGCAUCCCACACUACCAAGGGCUUCGAAGACCUGGCAUCAACAAGCUAUCCCUUCGUCCGAACAUAAUGGUAUCAAACCUACGUACUCAAUAGCCGACGAUAUCGAAGAAAUCCCCAGAGAAGCAUCCCAAAAAUCACUCCCUCGUUCAACAACGUCAAACUCUCGUUCAAUACGUCAAGCCCUUCGACUAGCAAGUUUUCUUUCGGCGCCACAUAACGCAGUGCCUAAUUAGACACAAGUUUGACACUCCGAAUUGGCAGCAACGGAAAUUCUCUUCGAAAUUUUUUUCCUUUUAUUUAAUUACUGGCUAACAAAUAUCCUUAAAACUCCAACUAUAAUAUUCUUCCGACUUUCCCAGAAGUUUUUAUACGUCAAGCACAAAUUAAUAACACUCACAAUUCCAGAUUUCAGUUUAUUAUAAUUGAG
RNAcentral lists this long non-coding RNA (1589 nucleotides) under Hermetia illucens (black soldier fly). Its description in RNAcentral is "uncharacterized LOC119650349". The record is from RNAcentral. Lineage: Eukaryota; Metazoa; Arthropoda; Insecta; Diptera; Stratiomyidae.